UGGCGGCGCGCUUAACACAUGCAAGUCGCACGAGAAAGGGGGCAACCCUGAGUACAGUGGCGUACGGGUGAGUAACACGUGGAUUAUCUACCUUUUAGUGGGGAAUACCUCUGGGAAACCGGAGACAAUACCGCAUAAGCUCGAAAGAGGAAAGCAGCAAUGCGCUGAAAGAGGAGUCCGCGGCUGAUUAGCUAGUUGGCGGGGUAACGGCCCACCAAGGCGAAGAUCGGUAGCCGGCCUGAGAGGGCACACGGCCACACUGGCACUGAAAUACGGGCCAGACUCCUACGGGAGGCAGCAGUGGGGAAUCUUGCACAAUGGAGGAAACUCUGAUGCAGCGACGCCGCGUGAGCGAUGAGGCCCUUCGGGGUGUAAAGCUCUUUCGACGGGAACGAUAAUGACGGUACCCGGAGAAGAAGCUGCGGCUAACUACGUGCCAGCAGCCGCGGUAAUACGUAGGCAGCAAGCGUUGUUCGGAAUUAUUGGGCGUAAAGAGUGCGUAGGCGGUGUUCCAAGUCUGUCGUGAAAUCUCCCGGCUUAACUGGGAGGGUGCGGCGGAAACUGGGAUGCUAGAGGGUGGGAGAGGUAAGCGGAAUUCCUGGUGUAGCGGUGAAAUGCGUAGAUAUCAGGAGGAACACCUGUGGUGUAGACAGCUUACUGGACCACUUCUGACGCUGAGGCACGAAAGCGUG
This 692-nucleotide ribosomal RNA is filed under the name uncultured bacterium. Its description in RNAcentral is "bacterial SSU rRNA". It matches the Rfam family "Bacterial small subunit ribosomal RNA", at positions 37 to 763 of the family's 1533-position model. The record is from RNAcentral.